GUUUGUUUUUUUAAUUAACUUGAGUGUUU
RNAcentral lists this non-coding RNA (29 nucleotides) under Rattus norvegicus (Norway rat). Lineage: Eukaryota; Metazoa; Chordata; Mammalia; Rodentia; Muridae. The record is from RNAcentral.